This 497-nucleotide ribosomal RNA is filed under the name uncultured bacterium. Its description in RNAcentral is "partial 16S ribosomal RNA". It matches the Rfam family "Bacterial small subunit ribosomal RNA", at positions 28 to 507 of the family's 1533-position model. The record is from RNAcentral.
GAUGAACGCUGGCGGCGUGCCUAAUACAUGCAAGUCGAGCGAACGGACGAGAAGUUUGCUUCUCUGUCGUUAGCGGCGGACGGGUGAGUAACACGUGGAUAACCUACCUAUAAGACUGGGAAAACUUCGGGACACCGGAGCUAAUACCGGAUAAUAUUCUGAACCGCAUGGUUCAAAAGUGAAAGACGGCCUUGCUGUCACUUAUAGAUGGAUCCGCGCUGCAUUAGCUAGUUGGUAAGGUAACGGCUUACCAAGGCAACGAUGCAUAGCCGACCUGAGAGGGUGAUCGGCCACACGGGAACUGGGACGCGCUCCAGACUCCUACGAGAGGCAGCAGUAGGGAAUGUUCCGCAAUGGGCGAGAGCCUGACGGAACAACGCCACGUGAGUGAUGGAGAUCUUGGGAUCGUAAAGCUCUGUUAUUGGGGAAAAACAGAUGUGUAAGUAGCUGUACACAUCUUGACGGUACCUGAUCAGAAAGCCACGGCUAACUACGUG